CGUAGGGUGCGAGCGUUAAAUCGGAAUUACUGGGCGUAAAAGCGUGCGCAGGCGGUGAUGUAAGACAGAUGUGAAAAUCCCCGGGCUCAACCUGGGACCUGCAUUUGUGACUGCAUCGCUGGAGUGCGGCAGAGGGGGGAUGGAAUUCCGCGUGUAGCAGUGAAAUGCGUAGAUAUGCGGAGGAACACCGAUGGCGAAGGCAAUCCCUGGGCCUGCACUGACGCUCAUGCACGAAAGCGUGGGGAGCAAACAGGAUU
Molecule: ribosomal RNA, 257 nt
Filed under: uncultured bacterium
Lineage: Bacteria
Description: partial 16S ribosomal RNA
Rfam family: Bacterial small subunit ribosomal RNA
Source: RNAcentral